ACCACAUAUAUGCAUUUCAAAUGAGAAGCGCAGUUGAUGUUCUGGAUGGUGGGUACCAGUGGAGAAAAUAUGGGAAAAAGAUAGUAAAAAACAAUAGUUUUCCAAGGUUGGACAGAUCUUUCAAAAAAUUGAAUGUCGUGAUCAAUCUAAUGGAGGUAUAUAUUAUCCGCAAUGUUGUUCGUUGGUUCCAAAAUUGUUAGAGGAACAAGAAGGUGCUACACUGCUUGUAUCCGCCAAGUUUAAUGUAGUAUCUAUCCGUAU
Molecule: long non-coding RNA, 261 nt
Organism: Vigna radiata var. radiata (mung bean)
Lineage: Eukaryota; Viridiplantae; Streptophyta; Magnoliopsida; Fabales; Fabaceae
Exons: 3
Source: RefSeq, a predicted model, not a curated record